Molecule: ribosomal RNA, 1081 nt
Filed under: uncultured bacterium
Lineage: Bacteria
Description: partial 16S ribosomal RNA
Rfam family: Bacterial small subunit ribosomal RNA
Source: RNAcentral
AUGAAGGUUUCGGAUNGUAAAACCCUUUCCGCAAGGGCGAAUAUGUUGGGUGUUAAUAGCGCCCGACAUGAGACGGUACUUGCAGAAGAAGCUCCGGCUAACUCCGUGCCAGCAGCCGCGGUAAGACGGGGGGAGCAAGCGUUGUUCGGAUUUACUGGGCGUAAAGGGCGUCUAGGCGGACUAACAAGUCAGGUGUGAAAUCCCACGGCUCAACCGUGGAACUGCACUUGAAACUGUUGGUCUUGAGUACGGAAGAGGAAAGCGGAAUUCCUGGUGUAGCGGUGAAAUGCGUAGAUAUCAGGAAGAACACCGGUGGCGAAGGCGGCUUUCUGGUCCGAUACUGACGCUAAAGCGCGAAAGUGUGGGGAGCAAACAGGAUUAGAUACCCUGGUAGUCCACACUGUAAACGAUGGAUKCUAGGUGUUGGGGAACCRACCUCCCCRGUGCCGAAGCUAACGCAUUAAGUMCACCGCCUGGGGAUUACGGUCGCAAGAMMAAAACUCAAAGGAAUUGACGGGGGCCCGCACAAGCGGUGGAGUAUGUGGUUUAAUUCGACGCAACGCGCAAAACCUUACCUGGGCUUGACAUACCGAUCGCACCUBMUGGAAACAUUASGGUCAGCUCGGCUGGAUCGGAUACAGGUGCUGCAYGGCUGUCGUCAGCUCGUGUCGUGAGAUGUUGGGUUAAGUCCYGYAACGAGCGCAACCCYYAYYSACAGUUGCCAUCAMAUAAUGCUGGGKACUCURGGAGACUGCCGGUGWCAAACCGGAGGAAGGUGGGGAUGACGUCAAGUCAUCGUGGCCCUUAUGUCCCGGGCUGCAAACGUGCUACAAUGGCUGGUACAAAGGGAAGCAACACCGUGAGGUUAAGCAAAUCCCAAAAAACCAGUCUCAGUUCGGAUUGCAGUCUGCAACUCGACUGCAUGAAGUCGGAAUCGCUAGUAAUCGUGGAUCAGCAUGCCAUGGUGAAUACGUUCCCGGGUCUUGUACACACCGCCCGUCAAGUGAUGAAAGCUGGGGGUACCCAAAGUCGUUAGCCUAACCGUAAGGAGGGCGGCGCCUAAGGUAAAACUAAGAGGCAU